CCCUGCCAUGUCAAGAUAGCUGAACGAGAUGCCGUUGACGACCCCGCCGGCCCCUUCGCAGGAGGAAUCAGUGCUCCAAAUCUGGAUGCUCACAAGCCUUUUGGGCGGAUUGAGAGCAUUAAUGUCCCAGUGAUUACCUCCUGGGCCGCCAUACGGGCCGAUCUUCAUCGCCGGCGUUGACUGCAUGCACGGACGCGGUUAAUCGAUGGAGGAGUAUAUCUUUUGUUAGGUUACCUAUACAAUAAUAAAGUAAUCGAUCUUCACUAGUGAUCUAAAACAUCAUAUAUUAGUCUACAAAACAAAGGAAGUAGAAAGCUAGAUAGGCAGUAGGCUGAUACUCCUACCAUAUCGUUGCGUGCUUGGAGAUCUCUUUCUGUUCUAGUCUUUGCAAGGAAUGCUAGCUGCUUGCUUGCUUUGUGGCCGUCCUUGAACCAAAAUGCCCGCCUAUUUAUAGCGAAACUUUUCAGCACCUACAAGUCG
Molecule: long non-coding RNA, 480 nt
Filed under: Triticum aestivum (bread wheat)
Lineage: Eukaryota; Viridiplantae; Streptophyta; Magnoliopsida; Poales; Poaceae
Description: long non-coding RNA (TAES_LNC018949)
Source: RNAcentral